ACUCCUACGGGAGGCAGCAGUGAGGAAUAUUGGUCAAUGGAGGCAACUCUGAACCAGCCAUGCCGCGUGAAGGAAGAAUGCCCUACGGGUUGUAAACUUCUUUUAUUUGGGAAGAAACCUUUCUACGAGUAGAAAGCUGACGGUACCAAACGAAUAAGGACCGGCUAACUCCGUGCCAGCAGCCGCGGUAAUACGGAGGGGUCCAAGCGUUAUCCGGAAUCAUUGGGUUUAAAGGGGUUCGCAGGCGGUUUAUUAAGUCAGUGGUGAAAUCCCGGGGCUCAACUCCGGAACUGCCAUUGAUACUGAUAAACUUGAAUAUAGUUGAAGUAGGCGGAAUGUGUAGUGUAGCGGUGAAAUGCGUAGAGAUCUGAAGGAAUACCGGUGGCGAAGGCGGCCCCCUGGACAGAUACUGACACUCAGAUGCGAAAGCGUGGGGAGCAAACAGGAUUAGAUACCCUGGUAGCACAGAG
RNAcentral lists this ribosomal RNA (470 nucleotides) under uncultured bacterium. RNAcentral describes it as "bacterial SSU rRNA". It matches the Rfam family "Bacterial small subunit ribosomal RNA", at positions 335 to 799 of the family's 1533-position model. The record is from RNAcentral.